ACACCGGCAGCUCUAGUGGUAGCAACUUUUAUUGGGCCUAAAGCGUCCGUAGCCGGUUUAAUAAGUCUCUGGUGAAAUCCUGUAGCUUAACUGUGGGAAUUGCUGGAGAUACUAUUAGACUUGAGACCGGGAGAGGUUGGAGGUACUCCCAGGGUAGAGGUGAAAUUCUGUAAUCCUGGGAGGACCGCCUGUUGCGAAGGCGUCUAACUGGAACGGUUCUGACGGUGAGGGACGAAAGUUAGGGGCGCGAACCGGAUUAGAUACCCGGGUAGUCCUAACUGUAAACGAUGCGGACUUGGUGUUGGGGUGGCUUUGAGCUGCUCCAGUGCCGAAGGGAAGCUGUUAAGUCCGCCGCCUGGGAAGUACGGUCGCAAGACUGAAACUCAAAUGAAUUGGCGGGG
Molecule: ribosomal RNA, 401 nt
Filed under: uncultured bacterium
Lineage: Bacteria
Description: partial 16S ribosomal RNA
Rfam family: Archaeal small subunit ribosomal RNA
Source: RNAcentral